AUUGAACGCUGGCGGCAGGCCUAACACAUGCAAGUCGAGCGGAUGAAGGGAGCUUGCUCCUGGAUUCAGCGGCGGACGGGUGAGUAAUGCCUAGGAAUCUGCCUGGUAGUGGGGGAUAACGUCCGGAAACGGGCGCUAAUACCGCAUACGUCCUGAGGGAGAAAGUGGGGGAUCUUCGGACCUCACGCUAUCAGAUGAGCCUAGGUCGGAUUAGCUAGUUGGUGGGGUAAAGGCCUACCAAGGCGACGAUCCGUAACUGGUCUGAGAGGAUGAUCAGUCACACUGGAACUGGGACACGGUCCAGACUCCUACGGGAGGCAGCAGUGGGGAAUAUUGGACAACGGGCGAAAGCCUGAUCCAGCCAUGCCGCGUGUGUGAAGAAGGUCUUCGGAUUGUAAAGCACUUUAAGUUGGGAGGAAGGGCAGUAAGUUAAUACCUUGCUGUUUUGACGUUACCAACAGAAUAAGCACCGGCUAACUUCGUG
Molecule: ribosomal RNA, 484 nt
Filed under: uncultured bacterium
Lineage: Bacteria
Description: partial 16S ribosomal RNA
Rfam family: Bacterial small subunit ribosomal RNA
Source: RNAcentral